GAUGAACGCUGGCUACAGGCUUAACACAUGCAAGUCGAGGGGAAACGACGGGGAAGCUUGCUUCCCCGGGCGUCGACCGGCGCACGGGUGAGUAACGCGUAUCCAACCUGCCUCUGACUGAGGGAUAACCCGUCGAAAGUCGGCCUAAUACCUCAUGGUAUCGUCUGCGGGCAUCCAACGACGAUUAAAGAUUUCAUCGGUCAGGGAUGGGGAUGCGUCUGAUUAGCUUGUUGGCGGGGUAACGGCCCACCAAGGCUACGAUCAGUAGGGGUUCUGAGAGGAAGGUCCCCCACAUUGGAACUGAGACACGGUCCAAACGCCUACGGGAGGCAGCAGUGAGGAAUAUUGGUCAAUGGGCGAGAGCCUGAACCAGCCAAGUAGCGUGCAGGAAGACGGCCCUAUGGGGUGUAAACUGCUUUUAUGCGGGGAUAAAGUGAGGGACGUGUCCCUCAUUGCAGGUACCGCAGGAAUAAGGACCGGCUAAUUCCGU
RNAcentral lists this ribosomal RNA (490 nucleotides) under uncultured bacterium. Its description in RNAcentral is "partial 16S ribosomal RNA". It matches the Rfam family "Bacterial small subunit ribosomal RNA", at positions 28 to 506 of the family's 1533-position model. The record is from RNAcentral.